This 788-nucleotide ribosomal RNA is filed under the name Methanoculleus sp. enrichment culture clone HA_46. Its description in RNAcentral is "bacterial SSU rRNA". It matches the Rfam family "Archaeal small subunit ribosomal RNA", at positions 86 to 879 of the family's 1478-position model. The record is from RNAcentral. Lineage: Archaea; Methanobacteriati; Methanobacteriota; Methanomicrobia; Methanomicrobiales; Methanomicrobiaceae.
CUGCUCAGUAACACGUGGAUAACCUGCCCUAGGGAAGGGGAUAACCCCGGGAAACUGGGGAUAAUACCCUAUAGAUUACAGAUGCUGGAAUGCCCUGUAAUCCAAAGUUCCGGCGCCUUAGGAUGGAUCUGCGGCCGAUUAGGUUGUUGUUGGGGUAACGGCCCAACAAGCCGAUAAUCGGUACGGGUUGUGGGAGCAAGAGCCCGGAGUUGGAUUCUGAGACAUGAAUCCAGGCCCUACGGGGCGCAGCAGGCGCGAAAACUUUACAAUGCGGGAAACCGUGAUAAGGGAACCCCGAGUGCCUGUAUAUGCAGGCUGUCCAGGUGUCUAAAAAACACCUGAAGAAAGGGCCGGGCAAGACCGGUGCCAGCCGCCGCGGUAAUACCGGCGGCUCGAGUGGUGGCCACUUUUAUUGGGCUUAAAGCGUUCGUAGCCGGGUUGUUAAGUCUCUUGGGAAAUCUGACGGCUCAACCGUCAGGCGUCCAAGGGAUACUGGCAAUCUUGGAACCGGGAGAGGUGAGGGGUACUUCGGGGGUAGGAGUGAAAUCCUGUAAUCCUCGAGGGACCACCUGUGGCGAAGGCGCCUCACCAGAACGGCUUCGACAGUGAGGGACGAAAGCUGGGGGAGCAAACCGGAUUAGAUACCCGGGUAGUCCCGGCCGUAAACGAUGCGCGUUAGGUGUAUCGGUGACCACGAGUCACCGAGGUGCCGAAGGGAAACCGUGAAACGUGCCGCCUGGGAAGUACGGUCGCAAGGCUGAAACUUAAAGGAAUUGGCGGGGGAGCAC